Molecule: ribosomal RNA, 491 nt
Filed under: uncultured bacterium
Lineage: Bacteria
Description: partial 16S ribosomal RNA
Rfam family: Bacterial small subunit ribosomal RNA
Source: RNAcentral
GUGAACGCUGGCGGUAGGCCUAACACAUGCAAGUCGAACGGCAGCACAGUAAGAGCUUGCUCUUACGGGUGGCGAGUGGCGGACGGGUGAGGAAUACAUCGGAAUCUACUUUUUCGUUGGGGAUAACGUAGGGAAACUUACGCUAAUACCGCAUACGACCUACGGGUGAAAGCAGGGGAUCUUCGGACCUUGCGCGAUUGAAUGAGCCGAUGUCGGAUUAGCUAGUUGGCGGGGUAAAGGCCCACCAAGGCGACGAUCCGUAGCUGGUCUGAGAGGAUGAUCAGCCACACUGGAACUGAGACACGGUCCAGACUCCUACGGGAGGCAGCAGUGGGGAAUAUUGGACAAUGGGCGCAAGCCUGAUCCAGCCAUACCGCGUGGGUGAAGAAGGCCUUCGGGUUGUAAAGCCCUUUUGUUGGGAAAGAAAAGCAGCAGGUUAAUACCCCGCUGUUCUGACGGUACCCAAAGAAUAAGCACCGGCUAACUUCGUG